UGCACUCAAUUGGAAAGAGGAGUGGCGGACGGGUGAGUAACACGUGGGUAACCUACCCAUCAGAGGGGGAUAACACUUGGAAACAGGUGCUAAUACCGCAUAACAGUUUAUGCCGCAUGGCAUCAAGAGUGAAAGGCGCUUUCGGGUGUCGCUGAUGGAUGGACCCGCGGUGCAUUAGCUAGUUGGUGAGUGUAACGGCUCACCAAGGCCACGAUGCAUAGCCGACCUGAGAGGGUGAUCGGCCACACUGGGACUGAGACACGGCCCAGACUCCUACGGGAGGCAGCAGUAGGGAAUCUUCGGCAAUGGACGAAAGUCUGACCGAGCAACGCCGCGUGAGUGAAGAAGGUUUUCCGGAUCGUAAAACUCUGUUGUUAGAGAAGAACAAGGACGUUAGUAACUGAACGUCCCCUGACGGUAUCUACCAGAAAGCCACGGCUAACUACGUGCCAGCAGCCGCGGUAAUACGGUAGGUGGCAAGCGUUGUCCGGAUUUAUUGGGCGUAAAGCGAGCGCAGGCGGUUUCUUAAGUCUGAUGUGAAAGCCCCCGGCUCAACCGGGGAGGGUCAUUGGAAACUGGGAGACUUGAGUGCAGAAGAGGAGCACUGGAAUUCCAUGUGUAGCGGUGAAAUGCGUAGAUAUAUGGAGGAACACCAGUGGCGAAGGCAGGCUCUCUGGUCUGUAACUGACGCUGAGGCUCGAAAGCGUGGGGAGCAAACAGGAUUAGAUACACUGGUAGUCCACGGCCGUGAAACGAU
This 757-nucleotide ribosomal RNA is filed under the name uncultured low G+C Gram-positive bacterium. RNAcentral's name for it is "bacterial SSU rRNA". It matches the Rfam family "Bacterial small subunit ribosomal RNA", at positions 74 to 810 of the family's 1533-position model. The record is from RNAcentral. Lineage: Bacteria; Bacillati; Bacillota.